AGAGCGCAUCCCGAAAAGUGUGAAACGGUUUUCGGAAAAGAUGCGCGU
This 48-nucleotide unclassified non-coding RNA is filed under the name Brucella sp. 191011898. RNAcentral describes it as "BASRCI408". Lineage: Bacteria; Pseudomonadati; Pseudomonadota; Alphaproteobacteria; Hyphomicrobiales; Brucellaceae. The record is from RNAcentral.